UGUCAGUACAUGCUGUAAGGUUGGGA
Molecule: non-coding RNA, 26 nt
Filed under: Homo sapiens (human)
Lineage: Eukaryota; Metazoa; Chordata; Mammalia; Primates; Hominidae
Source: RNAcentral